GUAACGGAGGCGCCCAAAGGUUCCCUCAGAAUGGUUGGAAAUCAUUCGUAGAGUGCAAAGGCAUAAGGGAGCUUGACUGCGAGACCUACAAGUCGAGCAGGGACGAAAGUCGGGCUUAGUGAUCCGGUGGUUCCGCAUGGAAGGGCCAUCGCUCAACGGAUAAAAGCUACCCCGGGGAUAACAGGCUUAUCUCCCCCAAGAGUCCACAUCGACGGGGAGGUUUGGCACCUCGAUGUCGGCUCAUCGCAUCCUGGGGCUGUAGUCGGUCCCAAGGGUUGGGCUGUUCGCCCAUUAAAGCGGUACGCGAGCUGGGUUCAGAACGUCGUGAGACAGUUCGGUCCCUAUCCGUCGUGGGCGUAGGAAAUUUGAGAGGAGCUGUCCUUAGUACGAGAGGACCGGGAUGGACGCACCGCUGGUGUACCAGUUGUUCUGCCAAGGGCAUAGCUGGGUAGCUAUGUGCGGAAGGGAUAAGUGCUGAAAGCAUCUAAGCAUGAAGCCCCCCUCAAGAUGAGAUUUCCCAUAGCGUAAGCUAGUAAGAUCCCUGAAAGAUGAUCAGGUUGAUAGGUUCGAGGUGGAAGCAUGGUGACAUGUGGAGCUGACGAAUACUAAUAGAUCGAGGACUUAACCAUAUAA
RNAcentral lists this ribosomal RNA (633 nucleotides) under Bacillus thuringiensis serovar israelensis. RNAcentral describes it as "bacterial LSU rRNA". It matches the Rfam family "Bacterial large subunit ribosomal RNA", at positions 2297 to 2925 of the family's 2925-position model. The record is from RNAcentral. Lineage: Bacteria; Bacillati; Bacillota; Bacilli; Caryophanales; Bacillaceae. RNAcentral also lists the same sequence under 6 other names.